RNAcentral lists this ribosomal RNA (490 nucleotides) under uncultured bacterium. RNAcentral describes it as "partial 16S ribosomal RNA". It matches the Rfam family "Bacterial small subunit ribosomal RNA", at positions 30 to 507 of the family's 1533-position model. The record is from RNAcentral.
AUUGAACGCUGGCGGCAGGCCUAACACAUGCAAGUCGAACGGUAACAGGAAGCAGCUUGCUGCUUUGCUGACGAGUGGCGGACGGGUGAGUAAUGUCUGGGAAACUGCCCGAUGGAGGGGGAUAACUACUGGAAACGGUAGCUAAUACCGCAUAACGUCGCAAGACCAAAGAGGGGGACCUUAGGGCCUCUUGCCAUCGGAUGUGCCCAGAUGGGAUUAGCUAGUAGGUGGGGUAACGGCUCACCUAGGCGACGAUCCCUAGCUGGUCUGAGAGGAUGACCAGCCACACUGGAACUGAGACACGGUCCAGACUCCUGCGGGAAGCAGCAGUGGGGAAUAUUGCACGAUGGGCGCAAGCCUGAUGCAGCCAUGCCGCGUGUAUGAAGAAGGCCUUCGGGUUGUAAAGUACUUUCAGCGGGGAGGAAGGGAGUAAAGUUAAUACCUGUGCUCAUUGACGUUACCCGCAGAAGAAGCACCGGCUAACUCCGUG